UUCCAUUACAUGUGUCGUCAGCUCCCAGCAAACGCGCGAGGGUGUUUUACAGGGAAGACUAGAAAGGGUUAAGGAAGCACGGAAAGAGGAGAGGAGAGAACAAAAAAAAAAAGAAGGGAGACAAAUUGCAAUCCACCGCGAGACCCCGUCGCCACCUCCCCCUCCUCCUUUCCCCCUUUCCUUCCCUUCCUCAUUCUCCUCCGCCUUCUCCUGCCCCUCCCUUCCCUAUUUGCAGCACCGCCCACCCAUCGCCUCCGCUCCUACUUCUACCGUGAGCGGUGCUCUCCGUUGUCUCCUCCUCCCCCAUCCCUUCCCUCUGUGCAGCACCGCCCGUCCCGUCCCGUCGCCUCCGCCCCCUGCUCUCACGCAAGCUCGUCGCCUCCUCCCUUCUCCCUCCUCCUCAGGAGGCGCAAGUAUGCCGAAAAGUGUGGCGGCGACGUCCUUCUUCGCGCGGGACCCACUAGACUCGAGGAAGGCCACCAGGGGAGGGAUGGCGUCGGAGCAUCUGAUGACGGUGCGGAGGUCGUCAAGCUGGGGGAGGACGCAGGCGACGUUCUCGCGGGCGACUAGGUACCGGUGCAGAGGGCGCGAACGAGGGGGCGGAUCCCCUCGACAGCGAUGAUCAGGGUCUUGCUCCCGUCGCAGAGGGAGCGGUCCAACAUGGGGAUGACGCUGUGCUCCUAGAGCCGGGGGUCUGGGUGAGAGAGCAGUGCGACUAGGGUGCUAACUGCGUCGACGACGACGAUGCGUAGCCGACUCUCCGUGUUGUCUUCACGAUGGGAGUCUAGGGCGGCGGGAGAGGGGAGGGGGGAGGAGGAGGCCAGGAGGAGAAAGGGGGGAGGGAAGGGUAAAGGGGAAGGGAGGAGGGGUGGGAGGCGACGGGCGACGCCGCUCGCGAUGGGAGUUGUGGGGAAGGCGACACGUGGCGCCACUCGCCGUGGUUGACUGAUGCAGCGCAAGGAUGUUUUUAUCAAGUGAUAAAAAAGGAUCAGUCCAAGAUAAAAAUUAAUGACGGAUAUUUUAGAAUAAAGCAUCGCUUCUAACCUCGAAAAUGAUUGGUUUGGUAAUUAGUAUAAGUUAUCAAAAGGAGGCACGAAUAAUCCUUCUACCCACCCGUCUACCACCGCACCGUUCUCUUCUGGUGCUGAUUGAUGGUCGGUCCCGCUGCUGGCCUUUUGGUAGAUUCGGCGGUACGAAUAUAUGGGGCAUACUAUGGAUUGCUCUUAAAGAAGCCAUGUGGUUGUCAGGGAGGGUGGUGGCCCAGAGAUUCUAGCCGUCCGAUUUUGAUUUGACGGUGAUUUGCAAUACCUUGUAUAAUUCCUCGGGAGCCGCCUUCCUUGCCUUUCUCCCUCUAGCUACUUCGAUCGCCGAGAUAUCGUAAACACCACGCUCCGCUGCUUCAGCCAUGGAGAACGACGACGACGCCCCGCCUCUCGCCGUCCGAAUUGGAAAAGAACCCGAGAGUAAUCCUCCGGAACGUUCCUACCGUUCCCAAAAUGUACAGCGGGGAACCUCGGAGGAAUCUCCGGUCGGAGUCACUGUCAUCACCGGGUACCUCGGCGCCGGCAAAUCCACGUUAGUUAAUUACAUCCUGAAUGCGCAACAUGGAAAGAAGAUUGCCGUGAUAUUGAAUGAGUUUGGAGAGGAGAUAGGAGUAGAGAGGGCGAUGAUCAAUGAGGGUGAAGGUGGUGCGCUUGUGGAGGAAUGGGUGGAGUUGGCCAAUGGCUGUGUUUGUUGCACCGUUAAGCACAGCCUUGUACAAGCUCUGGAGCAGCUUGUUCAGCGGAAAGAAAGACUCGAUCAUAUAUUGUUGGAGACAACUGGACUGGCUGAUCCUGCUCCCCUUGCCUCUGUUCUUUGGCUGGAUGAUCAGCUGGAGUCAGAAAUUACUCUUGAUUCUAUAAUCACAGUUGUGGAUGCCAAAAACUUACAACGACAGCUUGAGGAGCAUCUUAAGUCUUCUUUCUUUCCUGAAGCAUUCCUUCAGAUAGCAUUCGCUGAUGUCGUGAUUUUAAACAAAGUUGAUUUGGUCUUGCAAGAGGGUUAUGGGCUUGAUACUUCAUCCAUAUUGGAAGAACUGGAAAAGAAGAUCUAUGAUAUCAACUCACUUGCCACUGUCAUACACAGUGUUCGUUGCCAAGUUGAUCUGUGUAAAAUUUUGGAUCGGCAGGCCUAUGGUGCUAAGAAUAUAGCUCAUCUGGAGAAACUUUUAGAAGACAGUAAAUCUACAUUUAGCAGAAGCCGUCAUGAUAACACUCUUCGCACAUUGUGCAUUUAUGAGGAGCAACCAGUUGAUUUAGAUAUGGUAGGGUCUUAUUUACCAGCAACAUGGGUGCCUGUUUCUUUAGUUCUGGUUCGUUCUUGGCUAGAGGAUCUUCUAUGGGAGAAGAAAUCUAAUAUGGAUGUCUAUCGCUGCAAAGGGGUUUUAAAUGUCCUCAACUCUGAUCAACUUCAUACUCUCCAGGCAGUCAGAGAAAUAUAUGAGAUUGUACCAGCUCGCAAAUGGCAUCAAGGAAAAAAGCAAAUGAGCAAGAUAGUUUUCAUAGGUCAUAAUCUGGACAUUAGCAUUCUCGCUGAUUCUUUCAGAUCUUGCACAGUUUUGACUUGAUAUGCACCUGGAAUGCUAUGCAAUUAAGCAAGGAUUCCACAAGUCUUCAAAUUUCUUAGUUAUACUUACCAGUCUCAAGCCUUUUCCAAUGUUGCUAUUACACCCAACAAAUUGUUACUUUUGGGCAAUCAAGUGAAACCCCAAGCACCAGUGUGCAAGAUUCAUGCUCGGAGAAAUCUCAUUUAUAUAUAUAUGGUGAAACUCGUAAGCCAAGGAUGGAAGAUGGUUGAAGCAAUGUCCCUGCCAAGAGAGUGAAUGUUCUAUUGUUGUUCUAUUAGCAUAUAUGUAUUCACUAAUCAUGCAGGCAUAGCAGUGAGCAUUUCUGAAUGUUUAAUAGCUAGUGCAAAAUUUAAGCUCUGAUCAUAUAUCAAAAUCCUAAACCCAGUAUGGUCAUGUUAUUUUCUAACGCAUUGUUCUUGUGGCAGACACACUUGUGGUUGGGCUCAACCCAACUGGAUCCAAGUUUUUUACUUUAUACCUACUGAUUGAGCUGGUAGGCUGA
Molecule: RNA transcript, 3110 nt
Organism: Musa acuminata AAA Group (dessert banana)
Lineage: Eukaryota; Viridiplantae; Streptophyta; Magnoliopsida; Zingiberales; Musaceae
Exons: 11
Source: RefSeq, a predicted model, not a curated record